This 305-nucleotide ribosomal RNA is filed under the name uncultured bacterium. Its description in RNAcentral is "bacterial SSU rRNA". It matches the Rfam family "Bacterial small subunit ribosomal RNA", at positions 335 to 655 of the family's 1533-position model. The record is from RNAcentral.
GGCCUACGGGGGGCAGCAGUGAGGAAUAUUGGUCAAUGGGAGAGAUCCUGAACCAGCCAAGCCGCGUGAAGGAAGAAGGUCUUCGGAUUGUAAACUUAUUUUAUCAGGGAAGAAAAAAAUGACUGUACCUGAAGAAGAAGCACCGGCUAACUACGUGCCAGCAGCCGCGGUAAUACGUAGGGUGCAAGCGUUAUCCGGAUUUACUGGGUGUAAAGGGCGAGUAGACGGCGUUGCAAGUCAGAUGUGAAAGGCUAGGGCUCAACCUUAGGAGAGCAUCUGAAACUGUAAUGCUAGAGUGCAGGAGG